GCUGUGAAGAUGCAGUGUACCCGCGGCAAGACGGAAAGACCCCGUGAACCUUUACUAUAGCUUGACACUGAACAUUGAGCCUUGAUGUGUAGGAUAGGUGGGAGGCUUUGAAGUGUGGACGCCAGUCUGCAUGGAGCCGACCUUGAAAUACCACCCUUUAAUGUUUGAUGUUCUAACGUUGGCCCGUAAUCCGGGUUGCGGACAGUGUCUGGUGGGUAGUUUGACUGGGGCGGUCUCCUCCUAAAGAGUAACGGAGGAGCACGAAGGUUGGCUAAUCCUGGUCGGACAUCAGGAGGUUAGUGCAAUGGCAUAAGCCAGCUUGACUGCGAGCGUGACGGCGCGAGCAGGUGCGAAAGCAGGUCAUAGUGAUCCGGUGGUUCUGAAUGGAAGGGCCAUCGCUCAACGGAUAAAAGGUACUCCGGGGAUAACAGGCUGAUACCGCCCAAGAGUUCAUAUCGACGGCGGUGUUUGGCACCUCGAUGUCGGCUCAUCACAUCCUGGGGCUGAAGUAGGUCCCAAGGGUAUGGCUGUUCGCCAUUUAAAGUGGUACGCGAGCUGGGUUUAGAACGUCGUGAGACAGUUCGGUCCCUAUCUGCCGUGGGCGCUGGAGAACUGAGGGGGGCUGCUCCUAGUACGAGAGGACCGGAGUGGACGCAUCACUGGUGUUCGGGUUGUCAUGCCAAUGGCACUGCCCGGUAGCUAAAUGCGGAAGAGAUAAGUGCUGAAAGCAUCUAAGCACGAAACUUGCCCCGAGAUGAGUUCUCCCUGAGACUUAGAGUCUCCUGAAGGAACGUUGAAGACGACGACGUUGAUAGGCCGGGUGUGUAAGCGCAGCGAUGCGUUGAGCUAACCGGUACUAAUGAACCGUGAGGCUUAACCUUACAACGCCGAAG
RNAcentral lists this ribosomal RNA (893 nucleotides) under Escherichia coli. RNAcentral describes it as "partial 23S ribosomal RNA". It matches the Rfam family "Bacterial large subunit ribosomal RNA", at positions 2050 to 2925 of the family's 2925-position model. The record is from RNAcentral. Lineage: Bacteria; Pseudomonadati; Pseudomonadota; Gammaproteobacteria; Enterobacterales; Enterobacteriaceae.